RNAcentral lists this ribosomal RNA (119 nucleotides) under Pteropus alecto (black flying fox). The record is from RNAcentral. Lineage: Eukaryota; Metazoa; Chordata; Mammalia; Chiroptera; Pteropodidae.
GUCUACGGCCAUGCGACUCUGAAUAAGCCCAAUCUUAUCUGAUCUCAGAAGCUAAUCAGUGUCGGUCCUGGUUACUACUUGGUUGGGAGACCACCUAGGAAGACCAGGUGCUGUAGGCA